UUUUUUUUCCUUUUUU
Molecule: small RNA, 16 nt
Filed under: Arabidopsis thaliana (thale cress)
Lineage: Eukaryota; Viridiplantae; Streptophyta; Magnoliopsida; Brassicales; Brassicaceae
Description: ATSL046260
Source: RNAcentral